This 497-nucleotide ribosomal RNA is filed under the name uncultured bacterium. Its description in RNAcentral is "partial 16S ribosomal RNA". It matches the Rfam family "Bacterial small subunit ribosomal RNA", at positions 28 to 507 of the family's 1533-position model. The record is from RNAcentral.
GAUGAACGCUGGCGGCGUGCCUAAUACAUGCAAGUCGAGCGAACAGACGAGGAGCUUGCUCCUCUGACGUUAGCGGCGGACGGGUGAGUAACACGUGGAUAACCUACCUAUAAGACUGGGAUAACUUCGGGAAACCGGAGCUAAUACCGGAUAAUAUAUUGAACCGCAUGGUUCAAUAGUGAAAGACGGUUUUGCUGUCACUUAUAGAUGGAUCCGCGCCGCAUUAGCUAGUUGGUAAGGUAACGGCUUACCAAGGCAACGAUGCGUAGCCGACCUGAGAGGGUGAUCGGCCACACUGGAACUGAGACACGGUCCAGAGUCCUACGGGAGGCAGCAGUAGGGAAUCUUCCGCAAUGGUCGAAAGCCUGACGGAGCAACGCCGCGUGAGUGAUGAAGGUCUUCGGAUCGUAAAACUCUGUUAUUAGGGAAGAACAAAUGUGUAAGUAACUAUGCACGUCUUGACGGUACCUAAUCAGAAAGCCACGGCUAACUACGUG